This 684-nucleotide ribosomal RNA is filed under the name Triticum aestivum (bread wheat). Its description in RNAcentral is "partial small subunit ribosomal RNA". Lineage: Eukaryota; Viridiplantae; Streptophyta; Magnoliopsida; Poales; Poaceae. The record is from RNAcentral.
AUGGCGUCCACCAACGGCUACGGCAGCGUCACCGGCGGCGGCCUCCCCACGCACACGGCCACCUCCAAGCCGCCCGUCGACGACCCGCGCCACCAGAAGCAGCGCCUGCGCCGGCGCCGCGGCUGCCUCUGCUGCGCGUGCCUGGCCGUCACCCUCGUCCUCAUCGCCGUCGUGCUCCUGAUCCUCUUCCUCACCGUGCUCCGCGUGCGGGACCCGACGACGCGGCUCGUCUCCACGCGCCUCAUCGGCGUGGCCCCGCGCCUCACCUUCCCGGCGCUCAGCAUCCAGCUCAACGUCACCCUCCUCAUCACGGUGUCCGUGCACAACCCCAACCCGGCCUCCUUCUCCUUCCCCACGGGCGGCCACACGGACCUCACCUACCGCGGCGCCCACGUCGGCGACGCCGAGAUCGACCCCGGCCGCGUCCCCAGUAAGGGGGACGCGGACGUGAAGCUGGCGCUGACGCUGCAGGCGGAGCGGUUCGCCGGGGACCUGGCGCAGCUGGUCGCGGACGUGGAGGCCGGAUCGCUGCCGCUGGAGGCCAGCACCAGGAUCCCCGGGCGGGUGGCGGUGUUCGGCGUGUUCAAGCGCCACGCCGUCGCCUACUCCGACUGCAGCUUCGUCUUCGGCGUCGCGGAGCUGGGCGUCCGCAGCCAGGAGUGUCGCGACCACACCAAGCUCUGA